This 488-nucleotide ribosomal RNA is filed under the name uncultured Clostridium sp. RNAcentral describes it as "bacterial SSU rRNA". It matches the Rfam family "Bacterial small subunit ribosomal RNA", at positions 9 to 500 of the family's 1533-position model. Lineage: Bacteria; Bacillati; Bacillota; Clostridia; Eubacteriales; Clostridiaceae. The record is from RNAcentral.
GAGUUUGAUCCUGGUUCAGGACGAACGCUGGCGGCGUGCCUAACACAUGCAAGUCGAGCGAUGCGGUGCUUCUUCGGAAGCACCAAUUAGCGGCGGACGGGUGAGUAACACGUGGGUAACCUGCCUCAAAGAGGGGAAUAGCCUCCCGAAAGGGAGAUUAAUACCGCAUAAUAUGUUUUGAUCGCAUGAUCGAAAUAUCAAAGGAUGUUCUUCGGAACUUCCACUUUGAGAUGGACCCGCGGCGCAUUAGCUAGUUGGUGAGGUAACGGCCCACCAAGGCAACGAUGCGUAGCCGACCUGAGAGGGUGAUCGGCCACAUUGGAACUGAGACACGGUCCAGACUCCUACGGGAGGCAGCAGUGGGGAAUAUUGCGCAAUGGGGGAAACCCUGACGCAGCAACGCCGCGUGAAUGAUGAAGGCCUUCGGGUUGUAGAGUUCUGUCUUCUGGGACGAUAAUGACGGUACCAGAGGAGGAAGCCACGGCUAA